Molecule: long non-coding RNA, 282 nt
Filed under: Cavia porcellus (domestic guinea pig)
Lineage: Eukaryota; Metazoa; Chordata; Mammalia; Rodentia; Caviidae
Description: lncRNA (ENSCPOG00000033812.1)
Source: RNAcentral
CUUGGCCCAAACUCACUGAAAAAUCUGUUUCUUUUCCUAUCUUUAAGAAUAUUUUGCUGCUGUUUGUGCUUAUCUGGACCAGUUCUUUGCUCUGGAAGAAAAGAAAAAAACAGAAACCACCUCAAGAAGGAGACUUUAGCACCCUAAAACCUGGUGACAUAGCCAGCCAAGAGAGGAAGCCCCAGGAUGACCAACAGGAAACAUCUUGAACUGCACCCUACAGAUUCCACCAACUUUGCCACUAGGCUGUAUCCUUGAUCAUUGGGAAAGGUUUGAUCCUGC